Heterocephalus glaber (naked mole-rat) is the source of this 2148-nucleotide long non-coding RNA. RefSeq lists it as uncharacterized. NCBI's taxonomy places the organism in Eukaryota, Metazoa, Chordata, Mammalia, Rodentia, Bathyergidae. The record is from RefSeq and is a predicted model, not a curated record.
CUUUCAUUCAUCCUUAGUCCCCCGGCGUCAACUCCCUGCUGGGCUCGGCGAGGCUGGGCUGCGCGCUCUCAUUGGGUGUAGCCAACCCAGAGAAGUCGCCGGCCUCUUCUUCCAGUGGGGAGUCCAUCUGACCCAAGACAGUGGGAGGCCAAGGACCGAGUGCAGAGCUGGUGCACCUCGGGGACGCUGAGUCCCAUGCUGGCCCUGCACUCACAAUAUAGCCCAGACUGACCUUGAACUCAUAGCAAUCCUCCUGCUUCAGCCUCUCAAGUGCUGGGAUUACAGGUGUGUGCCACCACUCCUGGUUUUUUGGUAGAGUCCUGGUGGAUGCCAGUGCCCUUACUGCCUGCUGGUCAGAUGGUUCCCAGGUGCUGCCAGUGAAGUGUCCCCAGGAUACAUGAAGGAUCUCAGAGAAAACAAAAAAAAGGAAAGCAGAGCUUCAAGAUGAUGCUGAUACUGCAGGAAAAGCAAAAAGACAGAGCAGGAGUUUCCAGCCCCAUAGAAAGGAGCGCCUGACAGCCCCAGCUCUGGUGAAACCUUGGCUCUGACCUUUUUCAGUCUCAUUGCUCACACGAACUACGUCUUUUACUGAAAUCAAAACGACCUUUGUAUUGUUAAAAAAAAUCAUUCCAAUAUUGUUUAUUUCAUUUUUAGAGCAUGCUUCUUAGACUCUGUUUUGCAUGUUCUAUGAUGAAUAUAUUUUUAUAGUCAAAUAUGUAUAUAAUUUAUAAGUGACUAUAAAUACACAUAUAAUUUAUAAAUGUCCCUCUGUGUGUUUUGCAGUCACAAAUGUGAUCUGAGGACUGAAUCCAGGACCUUCAUACUAAGCUACAUCCCUUGCCUCUUUUUUAUUUUUCAUUUUAAGAAACAAUCUUGCUAAGUCACUAAGUUUCCCAGUGACUGGGCUUGCUUGGGCUUUCGAUCUUCCUGCCUCAGCCUCCUGGAGUGCUAGGAUAAUAGACCUGCAUGUCCAUGUCCAGUUGAAAAUCUUAAUUUGGGUGCAAAUUAAGAUUUCUGGCUUUAGAUAGUAUUUGAGGUGGCCAUCUGCCACCCAGGGAUGGCCAAAAUAUAUAUUUGGUGUUUGUGCAAAGAUAUUUCACUGAUGGUGUUGAUGAUCAAAAGUUUUCUAGGGGAGGGGCCACAGCAAAAGUUCACUUACUCCAGCCCUGUGAUUAGGAUGGGCCAAGCCUGCCAAAUUGGUGCUGGCUAAACACAGCUAGCAAACACAGGAGCAAGAGGCUGCCUGGGGACGCAGCCAUAGGCUGAGCCUGGCCGUUGCUGAGCGCGGGAGGCAAAUCCUGCGCUGUCCUGGAUGAGGACACAGACAGCUGAUGUCACGGGGUCCCUGCUGUCAGACCAGCCUGCUGCCCCCUGGCCCACUCAGUGUGACCUCGAGGAAGUGGAUUGGCUCCUCCCGGGUCGCUCUCAUGUCAGGAAAUGAUCCAGUCACCAUCCAGUCAUUCAGGCCGGGGGGCGGGGGGGAAGAAAAGAAAAAACAUUAAAAGUAACUCAGGCCUAGUGUGUAGGUGCCCAGAUGCCUCUCCUUCUAUCCUCUGUCCCGAAUCUGAUCCUUAUAUUAUUAUUUUUUCCAGUACUAAGAAUUGAACUCAGGACCUUGUGCUUGCCGGGCAGGUGCAGCACCACUGAGCUACAUCCCCCGGCUGAUCCUUCUAUUACAGACAGCCGAAUUAGUUAAAACUAUUAUAAGCAGACAGAUAGGGCGAGGUCCUUGAGAGUCAGGACAAAGGUAAAACACAACACAACUGCGUCCGGAGACACAUCUGUUGGAAGGCAGGCCUCAAGAUAAAGACAAGAUGACCAGACCUGUAUACUUCCCCAAAGGACAAACACCGGGCCUAAUGAAGUCCAGAUAGACAUCAGCCACCCAGAGACCUCUGGACCCACCAUUUCCUAGGAGGAGUCUUUGUUCUUUCCAUCCAUGCCUGUUACAUGACUUGUUUCCCAAUGGUUUGGACCACCAUUACCUGAGUGGCUGUACUUGUAACCUCAUUGGUUGAUCAUGGCUGUGGCCCAUGUUAUACCCACGUGGGUUUUACUCCAUAAAACUACCCUGUAGAGUGGGGUCCCUGGCUACACAUUCAGGACCCCUCCUGCUUCUCAGGAGCUAUCCUCUCAAUAAAUAUCUUC